AAAUUGGAGGGGACGCUGGUGGACGGAUUGGGUGCAAGGAGUUGGUGUUGAUGGAGGAGCAGGACGCCAGAGUCCCAGCCCUGGAACCGUUCAGAGUGGAGCAGGUUGUCAGAACUCAGGGUGCAGAGGGUGAAGGAGGCAGGCUGAUUCCUGAGUUCUUGGGUUGGGACUGCCCCCUUCCACCAAAUUCAUUCUUACUGUCAGAGUCCAUUCUGGAAUGGCACUGGUCCCUUGACUUUAGACCCUGACCUGUCUGAGGACAUCCUGAGCCUGUCUCCAGGCAUAGGGGUUGCUCUGUGAUGAUAUGUCCUCUGUGUGGGUUGAAGGGCCACACCUUCAGGGGGUCUUUCUAUCCUAGGCACCACCUGUAAUCUACUAUGUCCCUGACUUCAUCUCCAAAGAAGAGGAGGAGUAUUUGCUUCGACAGGUUUUUAAUGCCCCAAAGCCAAAGUGGACCCAGCUCUCUGGGAGAAAGUUACAGAACUGGGGGGGGCCCUCAGGACCCCAUUGCCUUCCCCAGGUGGGCUU
This 528-nucleotide long non-coding RNA is filed under the name Homo sapiens (human). RNAcentral describes it as "non-protein coding lnc-ALKBH6-1:2". The record is from RNAcentral. Lineage: Eukaryota; Metazoa; Chordata; Mammalia; Primates; Hominidae.